UUCAUUUCAGUUUAUGCGCCUGUCACUGCCACGUCACCCCCUCCCAUCGCUCUUCUCAUCAUCCUUUUCCGCCCUCAUGGAUUGGUGCUAAAAUCAGUCAUCUUCCUGCGAAGGCAUGAGGAGGAAAAGAGAGGAAGUAACUGAGCGAUAAUAUGCUGUAUGAGCCUCCUGCUCUGCUGCCCAUUACCUGCGUCACCUCCACAAGCUACUGAACCUCAAGGAACCCAUCUCCUCAUCAGGAAAAAAAAUAAGCUUUAUGUAG
RNAcentral lists this long non-coding RNA (262 nucleotides) under Homo sapiens (human). Its description in RNAcentral is "HSALNT0362890". Lineage: Eukaryota; Metazoa; Chordata; Mammalia; Primates; Hominidae. The record is from RNAcentral.